GGCAUUGUCAACAACGUCAAACUUGACGAAACGUUACAACACUAGUGUUAAAACUGCACACAUUUCUCGACACAUCAGAGUGAGCAUACGGAGCGGCAGUUUAUAACUAUGCGCUGCAGUUUUAAGAGCUGAACUAACCAACAGAGUCAGAAAGGUUUUCGCAUGCCUAAUGAUACGGGUAUCUUCGGCAGUUACAACUGUAGUCCUCACCUGGAUAAAUGAAUCACCAUCAUCAAACAACACUUUUGCGGCGAACCGGAUUGCUAAAAUCCAAGCUGAUUCACACCAAUCUCAAAGACGUCAUGUAUCAUCGGCAAACAACCCGGCAGGUGUUCUAUUGCGAUGGAGUGCCGCAUGUUAUUUAGCUGAGCAUAACAUCUGGGUAUAUGAAACAAUAUUGCUACACUGUUCCCGCGACAUGUGGUCAAAAGUACCGACCAUCGUCGCCAGCGAACUGGAACGGGUUCUGAAGCAAUUAAUAAAUUCAUUUCCAGAAUCGCUUUUUAACCUGGACUCUUUUUUAACCUAGAGGGUGUGAACGGAAGGCCAUUAUAUAUCCAGUAUUUAUUUACUUCUUAAUUGAUUGACGAGACAACAGCCGGAAAGAAAGACACGUAACAUACUUUUAGGGGAAAUACAAGAAGUUAUGCUAAGAAAAAUUGUGGUAAUCAUUAAACAA
Drosophila serrata is the source of this 679-nucleotide long non-coding RNA. RefSeq lists it as uncharacterized. Lineage: Eukaryota; Metazoa; Arthropoda; Insecta; Diptera; Drosophilidae. The record is from RefSeq and is a predicted model, not a curated record.